This 77-nucleotide transfer RNA is filed under the name Candidatus Doudnaibacteriota bacterium. RNAcentral describes it as "Candidatus Doudnabacteria bacterium tRNA-Arg". It matches the Rfam family "tRNA". From Rfam's summary of the family: Transfer RNA (tRNA) molecules are approximately 80 nucleotides in length. Their secondary structure includes four short double-helical elements and three loops (D, anti-codon, and T loops). The record is from RNAcentral. Lineage: Bacteria; Candidatus Doudnaibacteriota.
GGUCUCGUAGCUCAGCUGGAUAGAGCGUCAGCUUGCGGAGCUGAAGGUCGGAGGUUCGAAUCCUCCCGAGAUCACCA